RNAcentral lists this ribosomal RNA (356 nucleotides) under uncultured fungus. RNAcentral's name for it is "eukaryotic LSU rRNA". The stretch from base 52 to 165 matches the Rfam family "5.8S ribosomal RNA", at positions 40 to 154 of the family's 154-position model. The record is from RNAcentral. Lineage: Eukaryota; Fungi.
GAAUUGCGAUAAGUAAUGUGAAUUGCAGAAUUCAGUGAAUCAUCGAAUCUUUGAACGCAGGAAAUGCGAUAAGUAAUGUGAAUUGCAGAAUUCAGUGAAUCAUCGAAUCUUUGAACGCACAUUGCGCCCCCUGGUAUUCCGGGGGGCAUGCCUGUUCGAGCGUCAUUUCACCACUCAAGCCUCGCUUGGUAUUGGGCAACGCGGUCCGCCGCGUGCCUCAAAUCGUCCGGCUGGGUCUUCUGUCCCCUAAGCGUUGUGGAAACUAUUCGCUAAAGGGUGUUCGGGAGGCUACGCCGUAAAACAACCCCAUUUCUAAGGUUGACCUCGGAUCAGGUAGGGAUACCCGCUGAACUUAA